Molecule: long non-coding RNA, 1135 nt
Filed under: Mus pahari (shrew mouse)
Lineage: Eukaryota; Metazoa; Chordata; Mammalia; Rodentia; Muridae
Description: lncRNA (MGP_PahariEiJ_G0003080.1)
Source: RNAcentral
UUUGGACACAAUUUUCUGCAUAGUAUUUUGAGACAAUCAUCUUUUCAAAUAAAAGCAAAAGAUUUUCUUUCUCCCCCUGCAGCCUGGAAACCAUCCUUGUUACAAGUGACACAACGCAAUAACCCGGUACUUUGAAAGGUGGUCUGUAUUCUGCCACAGUGUAGUCCACUAAAGCAGGACAGAUUCCACACCAUGUGUGUAUGCGCUUUUCUGGGUCUGUUUGCUGCCAUGUCUGACUGCUCUGUUAUCUUCAAUAUGAUCUUACAACUAUAUGGAAGAUUGAGCUGUGGCUCCAAUGACUACAGUGAGCAUGGCUACUGUGAUUGUGGUCCUAUGGGGAACAUUUGCCAACAACUGAGCGACUCAGACCUGGCUGCAGAGCCAAGGUCCUCCAAUAGGCAUGUGGGCUGGAUGCCAGAGGAGACUUAGCUCAGGGACCUCACACAUUUCUCAUGGAAUGGAGAGCUUAUUUCAACCAACCACCUCAGCCCCGCUAACUGCUGACUUCCCACUUUCUCUAAAUGAGAAACGUGAAGGCAUGUUUGUAUGUUUUAGAUAGUUGUAAGCAUUUUUCAGUGGCUAACUUGCAAUUCGGUCCUUCCUUUGCGUUGGGUUGCUUCAUACCAAAUGCUGCUUUGAAUGUGCUGGAGCCUUACCUAGGUUAGUGUACAUUUAUUCACACAUUAUGAAAAAGAUUCAAUGUGAAGGAAAUGAAGGGACACAGUGUGGUCAUUAUACCGUUCAGAAUAAACACUGUGCGGCCAGUGUCUCAUUUUGUGCUAUUUGCUUCUGUGAAAUUAGCGAAUCCCUGGAGCAUAGCCUAUCAAUAUUAACAAUUAUUGAUUGUUUGUAUCAUUCUGUCUCUAGUUCAUAGCUAGCCACCCCUUGUAGUUUUUCUUAUUAUAGACUGAGGAAUUGAUUAAUGAAACAUAAAAUGUGGAAUCAGUUUGCAGCGACUUGAAACCAUAUCCGCCUAAGUAUGUCUUUGGACCUUGGUGAGGUGGACUGUCAAGUUGAACCAGGUUAGAUGUACUGCAGAUGCUCCUUAUGCAGGGUGUGGAGAGGCUUGGGUGAUAAGAGGCUCCAUUGCUGCAGGGUCAUUCGUCAUGUUUCUUGAUAAAGGCUAACAAUAGUG